Marmota monax (woodchuck) is the source of this 739-nucleotide long non-coding RNA. RefSeq lists it as uncharacterized. The record is from RefSeq and is a predicted model, not a curated record. Lineage: Eukaryota; Metazoa; Chordata; Mammalia; Rodentia; Sciuridae. The transcript has 3 exons.
CUUUGAACUGACCUUUACCUCAUCCUAGCAGGCCAGGACGCGCCUCUGAGUGACAACGUCGCCUGGUGCAAUUACCGAGCUUCAGAUGAGGCAGUCCUUUACAAAUCACCUCGGACUUUACACAUCUGCUGGCUGUCGGCAUCUGCCAGGAGCGCUCACCCGAAAAUAAUGAAAACCCUCUCAUUAUUGUUCCGUGGCAGGUGGCCUGGAGGCCCUCUAGAAUUCUGCACAGAUGCAUCUGGCAUGGUACUUAGUGACCAGCAUGCUGGAUGCAGUACUGGGAGAAACAUCUAGAUGAUAUAAACUCCAGAUCUGAUGGCCCACCUAGAACCCAAGCAGUUCACACGAGGAAGCUUCCACUUCCCGAGCACCUCCCACCUUCCUGCCACACCUCAGACCUCAUCUGCGCUGUGAGGGAGGCUCCUGAGGGCCACUGAAAUGGGUGCAGGGCACAGAGAUACGCACCUGCCUCAGCGUCCUCGGAGACGUUACCAGCACCUCAGGGGAAACGCUGUGAAACCAAGUUUAUACAACUUUCAUGUCAUAUGAACUCAUAUGGAUCCCAAAUGGAGCUACCCUGUUCCUCUCACAGCUGCGGAGGAUGCCACAAUCCCGCUGAGCACACGCCCCCCCACCAACUGUGCUGUGAGUGCGCUCCCUGGACCUCCUAACUGUCAUUCUUUAAAACACUUUCAUGCUUUUCAUUGAUUGACCUCAUAAUAAACAUAGAUUUGAACUC